Molecule: regulatory RNA element, 86 nt
Organism: Sutterella parvirubra YIT 11816
Lineage: Bacteria; Pseudomonadati; Pseudomonadota; Betaproteobacteria; Burkholderiales; Sutterellaceae
Rfam family: SAH (S-adenosyl-L-homocysteine) riboswitch aptamer
Source: Rfam
ACCGACGAGGAGCGCUGCGACGGAACCCACGGGUUCCGCCAGGCUCGCCGGUGCGGUUUUGCUUUCCCCAACGGCGCUCGUCCGAU